UACAAGGAAGUUAGACGGGGGCCCGCGACAAGCGUGGAGCACGUGGUUUAAUUCGAUGCAAACCGAAGAACCUUACCUGGGUUUGACAUGUACGUGUUACUGAUCUGAGAGGAGAGGGACCAUGCUUCGGUAUGGGAGCGUACACAGGUGCUGCAUGGCUGUCGUCAGCUCGUGUCGUGAGAUGUUGGGUUAAGUCCCAUAACGAGCGCAACCCCUACCUUUAGUUGCCAUCAGGUAAUGCUGGGGACUCUAAAGGAACUGCCUACGCAAGUAGUGAGGAAGGCGGGGAUGACGUCAAAUCAGCACGGCCCUUACGUCCAGGGCUACACACGUGCUACAAUGGCCGAUACAGAGGGCAGCUACCUGGUGACAGGAUGCAAAUCUCCAAAGUCGGUCUCAGUUCGGAUCGGAGUCUGCAACCCGACUCCGUGAAGUUGGAUUCGCUAGUAAUCGCGCAUCAGCCAUGGCGCGGUGAAUACGUUCCCGGGCCUU
This 492-nucleotide ribosomal RNA is filed under the name uncultured Sphingobacteriales bacterium. RNAcentral describes it as "bacterial SSU rRNA". It matches the Rfam family "Bacterial small subunit ribosomal RNA", at positions 912 to 1382 of the family's 1533-position model. Lineage: Bacteria; Pseudomonadati; Bacteroidota; Sphingobacteriia; Sphingobacteriales. The record is from RNAcentral.